GAUGAACGCUGGCGGCGUGCCUAAUACAUGCAAGUCGAGCGAACGGACGAGAAGCUUGCUUCUCUGAUGUUAGCGGCGGACGGGUGAGUAACACGUGGAUAACCUACCUAUAAGACUGGGAUAACUUCGGGAAACCGGGGCUAAUACCGGAUGAUAUUUUGAACCGCAUGGUUCAAAAGUGAAAGACGGUCUUGCUGUCACUUAUAGAUGGAUCCGCGCUGCAUUAGCUAGUUGGUAAGGUAACGGCUUACCAAGGCAACGAUGCAUAGCCGAGCUGAGAGGGUGAUCGGCCACACUGGAACUGAGACACGGUCCAGACUCCUACGGGAGGCAGCAGUAGGGAAUCUUCCGCAAUGGGCGAAAGCCUGACGGAGCAACGCCGCGUGAGUGAUGAAGGUCUUCGGAUCGUAAAACUCUGUUAUUAGGGAAGAACAUAUGUGUAAGUAACUGUGCACAUCUUGACGGUACCCAAUCAGAAAGCCACGGCUAACUACGUG
This 497-nucleotide ribosomal RNA is filed under the name uncultured bacterium. RNAcentral describes it as "partial 16S ribosomal RNA". It matches the Rfam family "Bacterial small subunit ribosomal RNA", at positions 28 to 507 of the family's 1533-position model. The record is from RNAcentral.